This 550-nucleotide ribosomal RNA is filed under the name Salmonella enterica subsp. enterica. RNAcentral describes it as "partial 23S ribosomal RNA". It matches the Rfam family "Bacterial large subunit ribosomal RNA", at positions 2386 to 2925 of the family's 2925-position model. Lineage: Bacteria; Pseudomonadati; Pseudomonadota; Gammaproteobacteria; Enterobacterales; Enterobacteriaceae. The record is from RNAcentral.
GGCGCGAGCAGGUGCGAAAGCAGGUCAUAGUGAUCCGGUGGUUCUGAAUGGAAGGGCCAUCGCUCAACGGAUAAAAGGUACUCCGGGGAUAACAGGCUGAUACCGCCCAAGAGUUCAUAUCGACGGCGGUGUUUGGCACCUCGAUGUCGGCUCAUCACAUCCUGGGGCUGAAGUAGGUCCCAAGGGUAUGGCUGUUCGCCAUUUAAAGUGGUACGCGAGCUGGGUUUAGAACGUCGUGAGACAGUUCGGUCCCUAUCUGCCGUGGGCGCUGGAGAACUGAGGGGGGCUGCUCCUAGUACGAGAGGACCGGAGUGGACGCAUCACUGGUGUUCGGGUUGUCAUGCCAAUGGCACUGCCCGGUAGCUAAAUGCGGAAGAGAUAAGUGCUGAAAGCAUCUAAGCACGAAACUUGCCCCGAGAUGAGUUCUCCCUGAGACUUAGAGUCUCCUGAAGGAACGUUGAAGACGACGACGUUGAUAGGCCGGGUGUGUAAGCGCAGCGAUGCGUUGAGCUAACCGGUACUAAUGAACCGUGAGGCUUAACCUUACAAC